Molecule: ribosomal RNA, 465 nt
Filed under: uncultured bacterium
Lineage: Bacteria
Description: partial 16S ribosomal RNA
Rfam family: Bacterial small subunit ribosomal RNA
Source: RNAcentral
CUACGGGGUGCAGCAGUGAGGAAUUUUGCGCAAUGGGGGAAACCCUGACGCAGCAACGCCGCGUGAGUGAAGAAGGCCCUUGGGUCGUAAAGCUCUGUCAAUGGGGAAGAAGUUACUUGGUAUUAAUAGUGCCUUGUAUUGACGGUACCCAUGAAGGAAGCACCGGCUAACUCCGUGCCAGCAGCCGCGGUAAUACGGGGGGUGCAAGCGUUAUUCGGAAUUAUUGGGCGUAAAGGGCACGCAGGCGGUCCUGUCAGUCAGAUGUGAAAGCCCGGGGCUCAACCCCAGACGUGCAUUUGAAACAGCAGGACUUGAGUACGGGAGAGGAAAGGGGAAUUCCUGGUGUAGAGGUGAAAUUCGUAGAUAUCAGGAGGAACACCGGUGGCGAAGGCGCCUUUCUGGACCGAUACUGACGCUGAGGUGCGAAGGCGUGGGUAGCGAACGGGAUUAGAUACCCCCGUAGUC